GAUGAAGAACGUAGCGAAAUGCGAUAAGUAGUGUGAAUUGCAGAAUUCAGUGAAUCAUCGAAUCUUUGAACGCACAUUGCGCCCCUCGGUAUUCCGUGGGGCAUGCCUGUUCGAGCGUCACUUAACCCCUCAAGCCUAGCUUGGUAUUGGGUGCUUGUCCCGCCUCUCGCGCGGCGACUCACCUCAAAGUCAUUGGCAGCCCGCAUCUCGCCGGCCGUGAGCGCAGCACAGACGCGCUCUUGGCAACGACGGAUCGGCUCUCCAAAAGCUUAUUUCAACCACUGACCUCGGAUCAGGUAGGGAUACCCGCUGAACUUAAGCAUAUCAAUAAGCGGAGGA
RNAcentral lists this unclassified non-coding RNA (339 nucleotides) under soil metagenome. RNAcentral's name for it is "partial contains 5.8S ribosomal RNA, internal transcribed spacer 2, and large subunit ribosomal RNA". The stretch from base 1 to 120 matches the Rfam family "5.8S ribosomal RNA", at positions 35 to 154 of the family's 154-position model. The record is from RNAcentral.